This 253-nucleotide ribosomal RNA is filed under the name uncultured bacterium. RNAcentral describes it as "partial 16S ribosomal RNA". It matches the Rfam family "Bacterial small subunit ribosomal RNA", at positions 524 to 776 of the family's 1533-position model. The record is from RNAcentral.
UACGGGGGGGGCAAGCGUUGUUCGGAAUUACUGGGCGUAAAGGGCUCGUAGGUGGCCAACUAAGUCAGACGUGAAAUCCCUCGGCUUAACCGGGGAACUGCGUCCGAUACUGGAAGGCUUGAAUCCGGGAGAGGUGAGUGGAAUUCCCAGUGUAGCGGUGAAAUGCGUAGAUAUUGGGAGGAACACCAGUGGCGAAGGCGGCUCACUGGACCGGAACUGACGCUGAGGCGCGAAAGCGUGGGGAGCAAACGGG